Molecule: non-coding RNA, 114 nt
Organism: Acanthosepion pharaonis
Lineage: Eukaryota; Metazoa; Mollusca; Cephalopoda; Sepiida; Sepiidae
Source: the annotation of a GenBank genome assembly
UUGCAUCCACAUCAUGUUGAAAAACUGGUUCCUGUGUGAUUACAAAAGUUAAGCAACGUUGAGCCUGAUCAGUACCUAGAUGGGUGACCAUUUGGGAAUACAAGGCACUGUAAG